CCUACGGGAUGCAGCAGUGAGGAAUAUUGGUAAAUGGCCGGAAGGCUGAACCAGCCAAGCCGCGUGAAGGACGAAGGUGCCAAGCAUUGUAAACUUCUUUUGUCAAGGGACAAAAUCAGGCUCGAGAGCCUGACCGAGGGUACUUGAAGAACAAGCAUCGGCUAACUCCGUGCCAGCAGCCGCGGUAAUACGGAGGAUGCGAGCGUUAUCCGGAUUUAUUGGGGUGAAGGGGUGCGAAGGCGGACUGUUAAGUCAGCGGUAAAAGCCCGGGGCUCAACCCCGGCGAGCCGUUGAAACUGGCUGUCGUGAGAUGUCGAGAGGUAUGCGGAAUGCGCAGUGUAGCGGUGAAAUGCGUAGAUAUUGCGCAGAACUCCGAUUGCGAAGGCAGCAUACCGGCGGCGAUCUGACGCUGAGGCACGAAAGCGUGGGUAUCGAACAGGAUUAGAUACCCUAGUAGUC
RNAcentral lists this ribosomal RNA (459 nucleotides) under uncultured bacterium. RNAcentral describes it as "partial 16S ribosomal RNA". It matches the Rfam family "Bacterial small subunit ribosomal RNA", at positions 338 to 795 of the family's 1533-position model. The record is from RNAcentral.